AGACACCCAAUACAUAAUAAACUUUUUCAAAGAGUUAUCUCUGUAAUAUCAUAUCAUUUGUACCAUUUAUAUUUUUUUUUUUUUAAACAGAUUAAAUUGAGUUAUUUGUUAUAAUUAAUGUUAGGGUAGUUUGGACUACCGGGCCCGGCGCGGUGAAUUCUGAAUCCUGUGGUCCUGCGGUUCACUAACGAUAAAAUAACCGCCGCCCUGUAUUAUUGUUAUUACACUGUCUUGCAUAUCGAUGAACUCCGGCAUAAUGUUCCGUGCUCAUCGGAUGUCUCGAAAUUGCGGUAUUUACCACCGGUAGACGACGACGUAAGCAGAUUAAAGGCGCGGUCCCCGUUCCGAGAUUUUACCUUACCGAUAAUUUUUCGUGCACGCCGGCGUAGCGUUUUAUUAUUAUUAUUAUUUUUUUUAAUAUAUAUAUUUUUUGCAACCGUAAGUACGCGGCAGACUCUCGAUAAUAUUAUUCGAACCUCGAUAACGUUGCGGAAAACAUCGUAAGCGGGAACGUUAAGUGCGGAUCGGCACCGGCGGAGAGGUCGCGUUGACACGGACUCCUCGACUCGGCCGCGGAAUUUCUAUAAUCGUUCCGUUCGUUUUUCACAAACGCAAACCGUUGGCGAAAUGCAAAUCUAUACAUAUGUUAUCAUUUCGAUAACGUUAAAAAUACGCGUGUUGAACAUAUCCACGGGGUGUUUUCUAAAACGAACAUCGUAUUUAUUUUUAGA
Cinara cedri is the source of this 731-nucleotide non-coding RNA. Lineage: Eukaryota; Metazoa; Arthropoda; Insecta; Hemiptera; Aphididae. The record is from the annotation of a GenBank genome assembly.